GAUGAACGCUGACAGAAUGCUUAACACAUGCAAGUCAACUUGUGGCGGACGGGUGUGUAACGCGUAACGAACUUUCCUCCCAGAUAGGGACAACAUUUGGAAACGAAUGCUAAUACCUGAUACUGUGAGAGAUGUUUGCGUCCCAUUAGCUAGUUGGCGAGGUAACGUCUCACCAAGGCGAUGAUGGGUAGCCGGCCUGAGAGGGUGAUCGGCAACAAGGGGACUGAGACACGGCAGUUGCACCGACGGGAGGCAGGAGUGGGGAAUAUUGGACAAUGGACCAAAGUCUGAUCCAGCAAUUAUGUGUGCAAGAUGAAUUUUUCGGAAUGUAAAGUGCUUUCAGUGGGGAAGCAGUACCAACAGAAGAAGUGACGGCUAAAUACGUGCCAGAAGCCGCGGUAAUAC
RNAcentral lists this ribosomal RNA (405 nucleotides) under uncultured bacterium. Its description in RNAcentral is "partial 16S ribosomal RNA". It matches the Rfam family "Bacterial small subunit ribosomal RNA", at positions 28 to 526 of the family's 1533-position model. The record is from RNAcentral.